This 460-nucleotide ribosomal RNA is filed under the name uncultured bacterium. RNAcentral's name for it is "partial 16S ribosomal RNA". It matches the Rfam family "Bacterial small subunit ribosomal RNA", at positions 338 to 795 of the family's 1533-position model. The record is from RNAcentral.
CCUACGGGUGGCAGCAGUGAGGAAUAUUGGUCAAUGGACGAGAGUCUGAACCAGCCAAGUCGCGUGAAGGAUGACUGCCCUAUGGGUUGUAAACUUCUUUUAUAUGGGAAUAAAAUGUUCCACGUGUGGGAUUUUGUAUGUACCAUAUGAAUAAGGAUCGGCUAACUCCGUGCCAGCAGCCGCGGUUAUACGGAGGAUCCGAGCGUUAUCCGGAUUUAUUGGGUGUAAAGGGAGCGUAGGUGGAUUGUUAAGUCAGUUGUGAAAGUUUGCGGCUCAACCGUAAAAUUGCAGUUGAAACUGGCAGUCUUGAGUACAGUAGAGGUAGGCGGAAUUCGUGGUGUAGCGGUGAAAUGCUUAGAUAUCACGAAGAACUCCGAUUGCGAAGGCAGUUCACUGGACUGCAACUGACACUGAGGCUCGAAAGUGUGGGUAUCAAACAGGAUUAGAUACCCCUGUAGUC